Molecule: small RNA, 161 nt
Filed under: Cellulosimicrobium sp. CUA-896
Lineage: Bacteria; Bacillati; Actinomycetota; Actinomycetes; Micrococcales; Promicromonosporaceae
Also listed under: 1 other name
Description: c-di-AMP riboswitch aptamer (ydaO/yuaA leader)
Rfam family: c-di-AMP riboswitch aptamer (ydaO/yuaA leader)
About the family: This family represents a conserved RNA structure found upstream of the ydaO and yuaA genes in Bacillus subtilis and related genes in other bacteria. The ydaO/yuaA element is thought to act as a genetic "off" switch for the ydaO and yuaA genes in its native state. It is believed that the element may be triggered during osmotic shock leading to activation of ydaO, a predicted amino acid transporter gene, and members of the yuaA-yubG operon which code for KtrA and KtrB K+ transporters.
Source: Rfam by way of RNAcentral
ACGAGGUUCACGACGACCCGACGACAGGGGCGGGGGACCCACUUCCGGGCGCUGGAGACAGCGUCCUCGGGGUGAAGCCCGGCGGACCUCGGUCCGCGGGGCCGGGUGUUUCUCCCACCCGAACCCGACAGCUGACUUCGCAGGCGUCCAGGAGAGGCAAA